AGUGAAGCGGCAACAGCUCAAAUUUGAAAUCUGGCUUCGGCCCGAGUUGUAAUUUGUAGAGGAUGCUUUUGGUGAGGUGCCUUCUGAGUUCCCUGGAACGGGACGCCAGAGAGGGUGAGAGCCCCGUAUAGUCGGCCACCGAUCCUUUGUAAAGCUCCUUCGACGAGUCGAGUAGUUUGGGAAUGCUGCUCAAAAUGGGAGGUAUAUCUCUUCUAAAGCUAAAUAUAGGCCAGAGACCGAUAGCGCACAAGUAGAGUGAUCGAAAGAUGAAAAGCACUUUGAAAAGAGGGUUAAAUAGCACGUGAAAUUGUUGAAAGGGAAGCGCUUGUGACCAGACUUGUGCCGGGCUGAUCAUCCAGUGUUCUCACUGGUGCACUCGACCCGGCUCAGGCCAGCGUCGGUUUUCGUGGGGGGAUAAAAGCUUCGGGAACGUGGCACCUUCGGGUGUGUUAUAGCCCGUUGCUUAAUACCUCCGUGGAGACCGAGGUUCGCGCUCUGCAAGGACGCUGGCAUAAUGGUCAUCAGCGACCCGUCUUGAAACACGGACCAAGGAGUCGAGGUUUUGCGCGAGUGUUUGGGUGUAAAACCCGCACGCGUAAUGAAAGUGAACGUAGGUGAGAGCUUCGGCGCAUCAUCGACCGAUCCUGAUGUAUUCGGAUGGAUUUGAGUAAGAGCGUAAAGCCUCGGACCCGAAAGAUGGUGAACUAUGCCUGAAUAGGGUGAAGCCAGAGGAAACUCUGGUGGAGGCUCGCAGCGGUUCUGACGUGCAAAUCGAUCGUCAAAUUUGGGCAUGGGGGCGAAAGACUAAUCGAACCAUCUAGUAGCUGGUUACCGCCGAAGUUUCCCUCAGGAUAGCAGUGUUGUUCUUCAGUUUUAUGAGGUAAAGCGAAUGAUUAGGGACUCGGGGGCGCUAUAUAGCCUUCAUCCAUUCUCAAACUUUAAAUAUGUAAGAAGCCCUUGUUACUUAAUUGAACGUGGGCAUUCGAAUGUACCAACACUAGUGGGCCAUUUUUGGUAAGCAGAACUGGCGAUGCGGGAUGAACCGAACGCGGGGUUAAGGUGCCAGAGUGGACGCUCAUCAGACACCACAAAAGGCGUUAGUACAUCUUGACAGCAGGACGGUGGCCAUGGAAGUCGGAAUCCGCUAAGGACUGUGUAACAACUCACCUGCCGAAUGUACUAGCCCUGAAAAUGGAUGGCGCUCAAGCGUCCCACCCAUACCCCGCCGUCAGGGUAGAAACGAUGCCCUGACGAGUAGG
This 1259-nucleotide ribosomal RNA is filed under the name fungal sp. RNAcentral's name for it is "eukaryotic LSU rRNA". It matches the Rfam family "Eukaryotic large subunit ribosomal RNA", at positions 92 to 1385 of the family's 3401-position model. The record is from RNAcentral. Lineage: Eukaryota; Fungi.